RNAcentral lists this ribosomal RNA (686 nucleotides) under Alteromonas sp. Its description in RNAcentral is "bacterial SSU rRNA". It matches the Rfam family "Bacterial small subunit ribosomal RNA", at positions 352 to 1030 of the family's 1533-position model. Lineage: Bacteria; Pseudomonadati; Pseudomonadota; Gammaproteobacteria; Alteromonadales; Alteromonadaceae. The record is from RNAcentral.
CAGUGGGGAAUAUUGCACAAUGGGGGAAACCCUGAUGCAGCCAUGCCGCGUGUGUGAAGAAGGCCUUCGGGUUGUAAAGCACUUUCAGUUGUGAGGAAAAGCUAGUAGUUAAUACCUGCUAGCCGUGACGUUAACAACAGAAGAAGCACCGGCUAACUCCGUGCCAGCAGCCGCGGUAAUACGGAGGGUGCGAGCGUUAAUCGGAAUUACUGGGCGUAAAGCGCACGCAGGCGGUUUGUUAAGCUAGAUGUGAAAGCCCCGGGCUCAACCUGGGAUGGUCAUUUAGAACUGGCAGACUAGAGUCUUGGAGAGGGGAGUGGAAUUCCAGGUGUAGCGGUGAAAUGCGUAGAUAUCUGGAGGAACAUCAGUGGCGAAGGCGACUCCCUGGCCAAAGACUGACGCUCAUGUGCGAAAGUGUGGGUAGCGAACAGGAUUAGAUACCCUGGUAGUCCACACCGUAAACGCUGUCUACUAGCUGUGUGUGAAUUUAAUUCGUGCGUAGCGAAGCUAACGCGCUAAGUAGACCGCCUGGGGAGUACGGCCGCAAGGUUAAAACUCAAAUGAAUUGACGGGGGCCCGCACAAGCGGUGGAGCAUGUGGUUUAAUUCGAUGCAACGCGAAGAACCUUACCUACACUUGACAUGCAGAGAACUUUCCAGAGAUGGAUUGGUGCCUUCGGGAACUCU